RNAcentral lists this ribosomal RNA (262 nucleotides) under uncultured bacterium. RNAcentral describes it as "partial 16S ribosomal RNA". It matches the Rfam family "Bacterial small subunit ribosomal RNA", at positions 524 to 776 of the family's 1533-position model. The record is from RNAcentral.
UACGGAGGGUGCGAGCGUUGUCCGGAAUCAUUGGGCGUAAAGGGCGCGUAGGUGGCCCGGUCAGUCCGUGGUGAAAGCGCGGGGCUCAACCCUGCGUCGGCCAUGGAUACUGCCGCGGCUCGAGCACUGUAGAGGCAGGCGGAAUUCCGGGUGUAGCGGUGGAAUGCGUAGAGAUCCGGAAGAACACCGGUGGCGAAGGCGGCCUGCUGGGCAGUUUGGCUGACACUGACGCUCAGGCACGAAAGCGUGGGGAGCAAACAGG